GAUGAACGCUAGCGGCAGGCUUAAUACAUGCAAGUCGAGGGGCAACAGGGGUAGCAAUACCUGCUGGCGACCGGCAAACGGGUGCGCAACACGUACAGAACCUUCCUUUAAGCGGGGGAUAGCCCAUAGAAAUGUGGAUUAAUACCCCAUGGUAUUAUUGAUUGGCAUCAGUUAAUAAUUAAAGAUUUAUCACUUAAAGAUGGCUGUGCGUCUGAUUAGGUAGUUGGAGGGGUAACGGCCCACCAAGCCAACGAUCAGUAACUGGUGUGAGAGCACGACCAGUCACACGGGCACUGAGACACGGGCCCGACUCCUACGGGAGCAGCAGUAAGGAUAUUGGUCAAUGGACGGAAGUCUGAACCAGCCAUGCCGCGUGAAGGAUGAAGGCCCUCUGGGUUGUAAACUUCUUUAUCUGGGAAGAAAUGCCUGAUUUUGUAUUUGGGUUUGACGGUACCAGAGGAAUAAGCACCGGCUAACUCCGUGCCA
This 486-nucleotide ribosomal RNA is filed under the name uncultured bacterium. RNAcentral's name for it is "bacterial SSU rRNA". It matches the Rfam family "Bacterial small subunit ribosomal RNA", at positions 28 to 510 of the family's 1533-position model. The record is from RNAcentral.